AAACUGUUCUAUAUCAUAUACAAAAUAUCUAAGCGACAUAUUGCGAAACAAAUGUUUAUCCCAAGAACAAAAUUAGGCGGAAGAAAAAAAAAAAAAAAAUAAUCAGAAGAAAAACAAUAGGUCUUUCCACAGAAAAGUGGAAAGACCUAAUAAUCAGAAGAAAAACAAUAGGUCUUUCCACAGAAAAGUGGAAAGACCUAAUAAUCAGAAG
RNAcentral lists this long non-coding RNA (211 nucleotides) under Mytilus galloprovincialis (Mediterranean mussel). Lineage: Eukaryota; Metazoa; Mollusca; Bivalvia; Mytilida; Mytilidae. The record is from RNAcentral.